CCACUACCGGGCUCACGUCGCUCAUCUUGCCGGGCUGCAGGCUGCUGGAGGGGGGGCUGAAGCGCCGGCUGGUGCUCGGAUCUACGGGAAUACGCAUCACAACAGCCACAAUUCCGUAGUGGAGCCCGGCAGGUUCAGCAGUCCAUCUCGGCGGCGCGUGUGACCCUUCGCUGUCCGCCACCGCCAAGCCGAGCGUGGCUGUCCAGCUCGCGGCGCCGUCGCCUGCCGGCGCCUCCUUCUCCUCCUCCGAGGCCGCUGCGCGCUCCCCUCGCUGCCUGCGCGCUCCGAGUCCUCCGGCCGCCGAGUCCUUCCUUGCCCCGUUUCUCUCUCCCUCUCACUCGCCUCCGUCUACCUCGCAGCCCGGUCCCUCCAGCUCUUUGCCAAGUGCCCCGGGCCCCCCUGGCGUUUCAAGGUGCCCGGAGGUAAGUGGGGGGUGGGGGGGAGCGGAUCUCGGGGCGACAGAUCUGGAGCCUGCGGAUCGCAGCCGCUGCCGCCGCCCGCCGGCCGCCAGAAGCGCCGGCACGCUGCGCUCGGCGCCCGAAGUUGGAAGGAGGCGGUCCCCGCCUAGGACAUCGCCGCCUGCGUCCUCCGCUCCCCCUUCACCCCCAGGACCAAGAACCUCUUCUCGAUCUGACUACGAUGAAGCUGAGAAGCUAGAGAGUCUCAGGCUGCUCCUGCUGACGUUAAUUUUUCGUUAUAACUUCAGGAGUGGAGGAAGGAAAAUUCUCAAGUGUCCGAGUUGACUUCUGAGCACUCUUCACCCUUCCCCCCCAACCCCACCCCACAUUGGCUGGGGCGGGGGGGGGGGGAAGGUUUUUACAGACUUCGGGGGUGGUUUUUCCCCCCUUAGGUGACAUCAGAAAAGGGUGACAGGAGGGCAUGUCAAAAUAGUUUUAGAAACUCUAACGGAUGUCUGGACAUUUUUAUUAUACAGUCCUUCUUGUCAUUACUGGAGAAUAAGGAUGGGUUGCUUUUUUUUUUUUAAGAAAUAAAAAAAAGACAGCUUGGUAAUUAAAAUAAGUUGUAAGUUGCAAAAACGCUUGCUGAGAAAGGGGAAAUACACAGCGGUUAUCCAUUAAUUUUCCAAUCUUUUAUUAAGUCCAGUCUUCGUCUCAGACUAAGUCUAGUGUCUUAAACUGUCUUCCUCGCCGCUCCCCACUUUGGAGGAAUAAAAGUAAAAGGUAAAAAAUG
Long non-coding RNA from Rattus norvegicus (Norway rat), 1191 nucleotides. RefSeq lists it as uncharacterized. NCBI's taxonomy places the organism in Eukaryota, Metazoa, Chordata, Mammalia, Rodentia, Muridae. The record is from RefSeq and is a predicted model, not a curated record.